This 633-nucleotide ribosomal RNA is filed under the name uncultured Methylotenera sp. RNAcentral's name for it is "bacterial SSU rRNA". It matches the Rfam family "Bacterial small subunit ribosomal RNA", at positions 8 to 636 of the family's 1533-position model. Lineage: Bacteria; Pseudomonadati; Pseudomonadota; Betaproteobacteria; Nitrosomonadales; Methylophilaceae. The record is from RNAcentral.
AGGGUUUGAUCAUGGCUCAGAUUGAACGCUGGCGGAAUGCUUUACACAUGCAAGUCGAACGGCAGCACGGACUUCGGUCUGGUGGCGAGUGGCGAACGGGUGAGUAAUGUAUCGGAACGUAUCCAGUAAUGGGGGAUAACUAAUCGAAAGGUUGGCUAAUACCGCAUACGCCCUACGGGGGAAAGCAGGGGAUCUUCGGACCUUGCGUUAAUGGAGCGGCCGAUAUCUGAUUAGCUAGUUGGUGAGGUAAGAGCUCACCAAGGCGACGAUCAGUAGCUGGUCUGAGAGGACGACCAGCCACACUGGAACUGAGACACGGUCCAGACUCCUACGGGAGGCAGCAGUGGGGAAUUUUGGAUAAUGGGCGCAAGCCUGAUCCAGCCAUUCCGCGUGAGUGAAGAAGGCCUUCGGGUUGUAAAGCUCUUUCGCAAGGGAAGAAACGAUGCAGACGAAUAAUCUGUGUUAAUGACGGUACCUUGAUAAGAAGCACCGGCUAACUACGUGCCAGCAGCCGCGGUAAUACGUAGGGUGCAAGCGUUAAUCGGAAUUACUGGGCGUAAAGCGUGCGCAGGCGGUUUUGUAAGUCAGAUGUGAAAUCCCCGAGCUCAACUUGGGAACUGCGUUUGAAACUAC